Molecule: ribosomal RNA, 582 nt
Filed under: uncultured fungus
Lineage: Eukaryota; Fungi
Description: eukaryotic LSU rRNA
Rfam family: 5.8S ribosomal RNA (bases 217-370)
Source: RNAcentral
CUUGGUCAUUUAGAGGAAGUAAAAGUCGUAACAAGGUCUCCGUUGGUGAACCAGCGGAGGGAUCAUUACCGAGUUUACAACUCCCAAACCCCUGUGAACAUACCACUUGUUGCCUCGGCGGAUCAGCCCGCUCCCGGUAAAACGGGACGGCCCGCCAGAGGACCCCUAAACUCUGUUUCUAUAUGUAACUUCUGAGUAAAACCAUAAAUAAAUCAAAACUUUCAACAACGGAUCUCUUGGUUCUGGCAUCGAUGAAGAACGCAGCAAAAUGCGAUAAGUAAUGUGAAUUGCAGAAUUCAGUGAAUCAUCGAAUCUUUGAACGCACAUUGCGCCCGCCAGUAUUCUGGCGGGCAUGCCUGUUCGAGCGUCAUUUCAACCCUCAAGCACAGCUUGGUGUUGGGACUCGCGUUAAUUCGCGUUCCUCAGAUUGAUUGGCGGUCACGUCGAGCUUCCAUAGCGUAGUAGUAAAACCCUCGUUACUGGUAAUCGUCGCGGCCACGCCGUUAAACCCCAACUUCUGAAUGUUGACCUCGGAUCAGGUAGGAAUACCCGCUGAACUUAAGCAUAUCAAUAAGCGGAGGA